ACUCCUACGGGAGGCAGCAGUGGGGAAUAUUGCACAAUGGGGGAAACCCUGAUGCAGCCAUGCCGCGUGUGUGAAGAAGGCCUUCGGGUUGUAAAGCACUUUCAGUAGGGAGGAAGGUAGUGUAGUUAACACCUGCAUUAUUUGACGUUACCUACAGAAGAAGCACCGGCUAACUCCGUGCCAGCAGCCGCGGUAAUACGGAGGGUGCGAGCGUUAAUCGGAAUUACUGGGCGUAAAGCGCAUGCAGGCGGCCUGUUAAGUCAGAUGUGAAAGCCCGGGGCUUAACCUCGGAAUUGCAUUUGAAACUGGCAGGCUAGAGUCUUGUAGAGGGGGGUAGAAUUUCAGGUGUAGCGGUGAAAUGCGUAGAGAUCUGAAGGAAUACCAGUGGCGAAGGCGGCCCCCUGGACAAAGACUGACGCUCAGAUGCGAAAGGCUGGGGAGCAAACAGGAUUAGAUACCCUGGU
RNAcentral lists this ribosomal RNA (464 nucleotides) under uncultured bacterium. Its description in RNAcentral is "bacterial SSU rRNA". It matches the Rfam family "Bacterial small subunit ribosomal RNA", at positions 335 to 791 of the family's 1533-position model. The record is from RNAcentral.